RNAcentral lists this ribosomal RNA (468 nucleotides) under uncultured bacterium. Its description in RNAcentral is "partial 16S ribosomal RNA". It matches the Rfam family "Bacterial small subunit ribosomal RNA", at positions 28 to 507 of the family's 1533-position model. The record is from RNAcentral.
GAUGAACGCUGGCGGCGUGCUUAAUACAUGCAAGUCGAACGAACAGACCCUGCGUUUGCUGCUCUCUCGAUUGGCGAGCACGUGAGAAACACACGUGUAAACUCUCCUUGUCAUUGUGAUAUCUUCUCGAGACUCCGGCGCUUACCGCGUAUAAUCUCUUGCUCCGUGUGGUUGGUUAGUGAGUUUCGGCUGUUGUGGAUGGAUUCGCUGCUUAUCCGCUUGUUGGUGUAGUAGUGGCUUACCAGGGGUAUGACGGGUAGCCGGCCUGGGAGGGGGACCGGGCACAAUGGGACUGCGAUACGGACCAGAAGCCUACGGGAGGCAGCAGUGGGGAAUAUUGCAGAACGGGCGGAAGCCUGAUGCAGCGAUGCCGCGUGCGGGAUACCGGGUUUCGGGUUGUAAACCGAUUUCGCAGGUGCCGAAGCGUGAGUGACGGUAAUGAGUAAAGAAGCCACGGCUAACUACGUG